Struthio camelus australis is the source of this 2828-nucleotide non-coding RNA. NCBI's taxonomy places the organism in Eukaryota, Metazoa, Chordata, Aves, Struthioniformes, Struthionidae. The record is from RefSeq and is a predicted model, not a curated record.
GUUCUGUCUCUCCCCAGCAAUCUGGAGUCUUUGAGGAGGACUCUUUUGUACCAUUGUACUGCAAAGGAUUGUAACUCAGAAUUUCAAAAAAUGAGUCAAGCUGGUGAAGAAAGUUCUUACAGUGACACAGAACUGGAAGUUGAGAAGGAGGAACCUCUCUCUGCUCUAGCUCCAACAGUUUAUGCCCAAGAUGAAGGAUCCAUUGAUAUAACAGCAAGUCCUGCAUUUCAGUGUUUAGAUGAGGUACCAUGUACCCUUUCUCUGUCUUUAGCACUACAUAUGGUGUCAAAAUCAAUGAAUUUGUACUAUAUAUUUCAUUGUUAAUAAUUGAAGGUUGUUGCCAUAUGCUAGCCAUAGCUUCCUUUCUUAUCCCUCUGUAAUUAUUAGGUGAUAAGAAUGUUUUGUGAAACAUACACAGGGCAUAUACGUCUCGCUGGGGAUGGUGCGCUUAAGAGAGAUCUAUGUUAUUUCUUCCAGUGAACGUGGCCUUGAGGGAGUGAGAACAGACAGAUUUUGUUUUUGUAGCUUUCUAGCUAUAGAGGCAAUUGCAUGAUAGUUUUUAGAAAGGCUGAAUAGGUGCAGGAAAAAUCCAAGCUAGAUGGCUUCUGAAGCACUAAUCACUAAUAAUGACAGAAGAAAUCUUUUGGAACCUAGUUUCUUUUGCAGAAUUUUCUGAGUUAAGAAAACUUUUGAAAUAACAGAAAUAUUUUAGAAUUUAAAACAUUAAUACAGCAGUAAACAGUGUAAUGAUUCGAUGGCGGUUUAACUUGGUAGUAAUUAUAUCUUGGACUAAAAAUUGUGAGAGGAUUUUGGUUUGGGGUUGUUUUUUUUUUUACACCUUAUUUUAUUUACUGCAAGUCAAAUUACAGCAUCAUCUGCAUUCACUACAGCAGUAUAGAAUCUUUAUGUUGCAAACAGCACACACUAGUAAAGAGAACCUUAAACAAUCAGAAUAAACACAGAAUAUUAUAGUAUGUGCAGCUUUUCCAAAUGCCUAAUUCAGUUCAGAGAAAUCGCUUAAUCUUAGCGCUUCCAACAGAGGCCAAAUAGUAAAACCAGACAGCACCAUUUGCAUCUGAUGCAGUUGCGAAGGAUCAUUUGUGCAUUUAAAGAAACAGUUUGCCUAGCUAGUUCAUAUGGAUCCAUUUUAAUUAAGAUAAAACUAAACUGUAGCAAAGUUCCAUGGAGGAAGUUGGGAGAAGUAAAGGAAGAGAAAAGUUAUAGAUGAAACGGUAUUUUCAUCAGCUGUUCCAGUUUUCAUUAAUUUAUGAUCAACUGGAUUCCAGAGCAUAACACUUUAUCUAAGAAUGUAAUUUCAGUGGAAGGUGAAAAUGUAUGCCUUCACUUAAAACCUGGUCCUAAUGGCAUUUUUUUUAAUAGAAUAAUAAGUAAAAGUUUGGUAAAACAUAGCAUUGAAAAAAGAAUCUCUUCAGUUGGAAUUAACUAGAAACCUAAUCUGUCUUUUCAUUUUCACAAAAUUGCACAGAUGUUAAGAUUAAAAUACUAGCUAUUCAAGUAUGUUUUUUUUAUCUAAGAGAUAUAAAUACAGAAAAAAACGUCAUUUUUUAUUUUUUAAAACAAUUUGUGUAGAACCUCAGUGGGUUUCUACACGAUAGAAUCCUCCCCCACCCAGGUACUUGCACACUUUUUCUAUAGACUUUCAGUUGUGGUAGAAUCUUUGGUAUGUCAACAGGAAGGAUAUGCCUGCCACAAUAUAUCUUCACCCCCCAACAAAAGUAAAAUAAAACUAAAUGAUAUAACAGUCUAAAAUACAUUCUACUUUUUGGUUUUGUUUUCAUUCUUUUUAAUCACUGGGAAAACAUAUUUUUCUAGCCACAUUCUAGAAAAUGGCCAAAUUACUUGACUGUUUUUUUUUUCCCCUCUCUCCCCCUCCCCAGUCUAUCCAAGGAGGUUAUUCCACAUGUAAAAUGUAAGGCCAACUUGCUUAACUCAGAUAACAUUGUAAGCCAUUAGUGGGAAAUACAGGAUAACUUUGGUAUUAGAAAUUGUUCCCAACUUGGGAAAAUACUUGCAGUGGAAAAUCAAAGUAAGUAAUUUGCAUAAGAUUUCAUAAUGAGCUCUUUCUGUCAUUUUGUCAUUAAUUAUUUUUUAAAAGGGAACUAGUUGACUCAUUUAUUCUUACUAUACUUUUUAGCAGUUAGUACUUGUGCUUUAUGAGUCAUUUGGGCAUUUCAUCCCUUAUUCACAUUUCUUCUCUUCCACUGACACAUUCGUGUUUUUCUUUGUUGAACUUUAAACACAAAUCAGAAAUAAAUAUAUGACCUAGGUCACCAUAGAGGUUGCUGCAUUGAUACUGGCUUCAGCCUCCUGGAAUGUCUUUCAAGAAUUUUCCACUGAAACAGAAUCAUAUUGUCAAAUGACUGGCUAGUCAUUUACAAUCACAAAUACUUAUUGGAAGGAACACCUUUUAGUAUUUUAAGAUUUAUUUGAGAAUAGAUAAUAGUCCUUCUGGCAGUAAACCUUCCAUUCAUACCAGUCUUGAUUAUCUCAUGUAAGCAGCAGAUAGCUGCAAAAAGUCUACCAUGUACAAAUGUCUCUUCUUCAUUUUUAAUAACACAUGGUAACAUUGUUUAGCCUUGUUGGGGUUGGUAAAAAUGUUGAAAAGGGGAUGGAGGUUUGAACAAAAGCCACUCAGUCCAUCGUGACUUGCUGCUUUUCGCCAAAUGUUUUUAUUUAUUACCAAGAUGACAUCAACCUAACUCAGUGCUUCCACUGCUAUUGAUUAGAGAACUAUUAUACAUUCAUAAAAUGAACUUUCCACUUCUUGUAGCCUUUGUUGUUAUGAAAUAAAGAUCCUUGCUAUAGCA